AUUGAACGCUGGCGGCAGGCCUAACACAUGCAAGUCGAGCGGAAACGAUCCUAGCUUGCUAGGAGGCGUCGAGCGGCGGACGGGUGAGUAACGCGUGAGAAUCUACCCAUGAGUGGGGGACAACCCGGGGAAACUCGGGCUAAUACCGCAUACGCCCUACGGGGUAAAGCAGGGGACCUUCGGGCCUUGCGCUGAUGGAUGAGCUCGCGUCGGAUUAGCUUGUUGGUGAGGUAAAGGCUCACCAAGGCGACGAUCCGUAGCUGGUCUGAGAGGAUGAUCAGCCACACCGGGACUGAGACACGGCCCGGACUCCUACGGGAGGCAGCUGGACAAUGGGGGCAACCCUGAUCCAGCCAUGCCGCGUGUGUGAAGAAGGCCUUCGGGUUGUAAAGCACUUUCAGCAGGGAGGAAGGCUUACCCCUAAUACGGGUGAGUACUUGACGUUACCUGCAGAAGAAGCACCGGCUAAUUUCGUG
This 476-nucleotide ribosomal RNA is filed under the name uncultured bacterium. RNAcentral's name for it is "bacterial SSU rRNA". It matches the Rfam family "Bacterial small subunit ribosomal RNA", at positions 29 to 507 of the family's 1533-position model. The record is from RNAcentral.